Molecule: ribosomal RNA, 256 nt
Filed under: uncultured bacterium
Lineage: Bacteria
Description: partial 16S ribosomal RNA
Rfam family: Bacterial small subunit ribosomal RNA
Source: RNAcentral
GACGUAGGAUGCAAGCGUUGUCCGGAUUUAUUGGGCGUAAAGAGUUCGUAGGUGGUUUGUUAAGUCUGAUGUUAAAGACUGGGGCUCAACCUCGGGAGUGCAUUGGAUACUGGCAGACUGGAGUGUAGUAGAGGCUCAAGCGGAAUUCCCAGUGUAGACGGUGAAAUGCGUAGAUAGUUGGAAGAACACCGGUGGCGUAAGCGGCUUGCUGGGCUAUAACUGACGCUGAGGAACGAAAGCUAGGGGAGCAAAUGGG